GGGUGAAGCUGGAGAUAUUUCGGGCCGAGUGGUUUGAGGACGAUGUCAUACAGCGCAAGAGGGAGCUGUGGCCACCUGAGAAGCUUCAAGAGAUAGAGGAAUUCAAAGAGAGGUUACGGAAGCGGCGGGAGGAGAAGCUCCUUCGCGAUGCCCAGCAAAACUCCUGAAGCCUCCAAGUGGGAGUCCUAGCCCCUCCCCUGAUGAAAUAUACAUAUACUCAGUUCCUUGUUAUUCAUUUAAGUGUUUUAUUCUUUUAUCAGUUUUUCGGGGCCGAGUGAGACCCAGGAUGCCUCAGGCCCUCAGGGGGCUUGUGUCGGGGGCUGGGGGCUGCUGUUCCGACGGAAGCUGAGAGCAGUCGGGUCCUGAGGGGUGAGCAGGGGUUGGGGACUGAGGGUCCCAGCUCGUUUCUGUGCUCCGUCCUGUGGAUGAAGAGGGGUCAGCCAGGGGGAGGGCUCAAGGGCAGUGCCGGCCACAGGUGGCGAACAAUGGAGAGAGGGUGCAGGUAGGCACCGUGUCCCACCUCAUCGUGAGCACUGGUCUAUGUUUACCCUCAAUAUCUGCCAUUUAGGGUGGCAUUUGAGUGUGAGGUGGCAGGUCUUGGGGCCCUCGCUGGGGUCUUGAUCAGAACCCAAGCUUCGUGUAUGUGUGAAGUCAACAGAUGUGAGUAUGCAGAUGUAUAUAUCCUAUGCGUGAGCUUACGUGCCCUCCUCCCUGGGAUACUUUCCUAGG
This 729-nucleotide long non-coding RNA is filed under the name Pan troglodytes (chimpanzee). RNAcentral's name for it is "long non-coding RNA NONPTRT007937". Lineage: Eukaryota; Metazoa; Chordata; Mammalia; Primates; Hominidae. The record is from RNAcentral.